Molecule: ribosomal RNA, 147 nt
Filed under: Endoconidiophora fujiensis
Lineage: Eukaryota; Fungi; Ascomycota; Sordariomycetes; Microascales; Ceratocystidaceae
Also listed under: 3 other names
Description: 5.8S ribosomal RNA
Rfam family: 5.8S ribosomal RNA
About the family: 5.8S ribosomal RNA (5.8S rRNA) is a component of the large subunit of the eukaryotic ribosome. It is transcribed by RNA polymerase I as part of the 45S precursor that also contains 18S and 28S rRNA.
Source: RNAcentral
AAACUUUCAACAACGGAUCUCUUGGCUCUAGCAUCGAUGAAGAACGCAGCGAAAUGCGAUACGUAAUGUGAAUUGCAGAAUUCAGUGAAUCAUCGAAUCUUUGAACGCACAUUGCGCCUGGCAGUAUUCUGCCAGGCAUGCCUGUCC